GCCCGCCUAGCUCAAUCGGAUAGAGCGUCAGACUCUUAUAGUGUCUAUAGGCAACAGGCGAUCUGAAGGCUGCGAGUUCGACCCUCGCGGUGGGCU
Molecule: non-coding RNA, 96 nt
Organism: Psilocybe cubensis
Lineage: Eukaryota; Fungi; Basidiomycota; Agaricomycetes; Agaricales; Agrocybaceae
Source: the annotation of a RefSeq genome assembly